Small nucleolar RNA from Rhinolophus ferrumequinum (greater horseshoe bat), 84 nucleotides. The record is from Ensembl. Lineage: Eukaryota; Metazoa; Chordata; Mammalia; Chiroptera; Rhinolophidae.
GGACAGUGACGAAAACAGCCAGAUCUGAAAAUCAGAAGAUCUUGUAGUCGACCUAAUAUGUGCAUGAUCUCUCUAGUUCUGAGA